GGAUUGUGGCUCAGUGGUAGAGUGCUUGCCUACAUGGGCAAGACCUGGGUUCGAUCCUCAGCACCA
Molecule: transfer RNA, 66 nt
Filed under: Marmota monax (woodchuck)
Lineage: Eukaryota; Metazoa; Chordata; Mammalia; Rodentia; Sciuridae
Description: tRNA.Val
Source: RNAcentral